RNAcentral lists this ribosomal RNA (406 nucleotides) under uncultured bacterium. Its description in RNAcentral is "bacterial SSU rRNA". It matches the Rfam family "Bacterial small subunit ribosomal RNA", at positions 355 to 776 of the family's 1533-position model. The record is from RNAcentral.
UGGGGAAUAUUGGGCAAUGGGCGCAAGCCUGACCCAGCAACGCCGCGUGAAGGAAGAAGGCCCUCGGGUUGUAAACUUCUUUUAUCGAGGACGAAGAAGUGACGGUACUCGAUGAAUAAGCCACGGCUAACUACGUGCCAGCAGCCGCGGUAAUACGUAGGUGGCAAGCGUUAUCCGGAUUUACUGGGUGUAAAGGGCGUGUAGGCGGGCCUGCAAGUCAGACGUGAAAUCUCAUGGCUCAACCAUGGAACUGCGUUUGAAACUGUAGGUCUUGAGUGUUGGAGAGGCAGGCGGAAUUCCGUGUGUAGCGGUGAAAUGCGUAGAUAUACGGAGGAACACCAGUGGCGAAGGCGGCCUGCUGGACAAUAACUGACGCUGAGGCGCGAAAGCGUGGGGAGCAAACAGG